Catharus ustulatus (Swainson's thrush) is the source of this 2643-nucleotide long non-coding RNA. RefSeq lists it as uncharacterized. The transcript has 3 exons. The record is from RefSeq and is a predicted model, not a curated record. NCBI's taxonomy places the organism in Eukaryota, Metazoa, Chordata, Aves, Passeriformes, Turdidae.
GGGUCCCCGGCAGGGCAGCAGAGGGACAUUGCUGCCAGUCUGAAGUUGGGCUGGGGAGCAUCCCAUCUCCUCCCUGCUGCACUACCCAGGGCUCCUGCCUUUUCCUUGCAAAGCCUCCCUGCAGGGCAGCUGAGGACAUGUGGGUAGGGUAGGGUGAUGAUCCCGGGAGGAGGAGAGGCAGGACAGACCAUGCCCUGUCCCUGCUGCUGCUGCUGAAGCUGCGCCGGAGCCGGAGCCGUCGAUGUGGCUCCCCAGAGUUAGUUGCUCAGCAACCAGAAUCAAUUAAUAUGCUUUGCAGAAGUGCAGGGAAAGCCCGAGCUGCUGUCAGCGAGCAGGCAGGAGGCUGAGGGUGACUCAGGAUCCCACUCCUGCUGACUCCCAUUAGGUCCCACCCCAUCCUCUCCAAACACUCCCUUAGCCACCGUUCUUUUCCCCUUUCUGCUUCCCUACGGUGCUUAACGUGCGUGCCCCCAAAUUCUUCAGGCAAAGCACCUCGUUGCUCAAGAAGCUUCUUGCUUCAAGGCUUUUGCUUUUAGAUCUGAUUUGUAUUUUUUUGGUUAUUUGUCAGAUUUUCUUCAACACUUUUCUAGAAAUUCUAAUAUUUGCGUUCUUUGGGAAGGGAAAGGGAUAGCUGGUGUUUUUGUCAGAUGGUUUUAAAGAUGCAUCAGGAUGAAAAAGAUUGUUUGGUAGCUCACAGUUGAGCAGCAGCAAUGAAAUUGCAUCAUGUGUAAAUUGGGAAAGUUUUUGCCUCUUCCUUUGUUACGAAUGAUCAGCACUGCAUAUAUGAGACCAAAGAGUCCCUCUGAUGACACCGCGAAUCUGGGAAUGAAGAACUUCUUAGAGCUGAUUGGAAAUGGCAUUGCGGAGCUGAAACUUAACUGGAGGAAAUAUAUCUCCUGAAGAAGAAAAUAUAAUGCACUGUAAGGAUCUGUCUUCUGGUGAAAAAUUCAAGCCUAGAGAAAACUUGUCCGCUUUGUUAGUAAGAAUGGGUUGGACAAUUUUCUUCAAUUCCAAAGGAUAUCUGAAUGCCAUGCUGAGCUUAAUCUCUGCAGCAUGCUCUGUGCUUCUCAUCUCUUCCUGAUGCACUGCAUGGUUAUUCUGAAGGGGAGGAUAAAGAAACUGGCCACCAAGAUGGUAAUCACUAGCGGAAAUGAAGAAGAUAAAGGCAGUCAAGAAAAGGAAAGCAAAGAAGAAACCAUCUUGGCAAUGCUUGGAAUUAUUGGGACAAUUCUGAACCUCAUUGUGAUCAUUUUUGUGUAUAUUUAUACAACGUUGUAAACUAGAAGGCAUGCAAAUAGACCAGAUAAAAAGGCCAUUAAGAGUGACAACAAACGUUGCUGACUAUUGACAAGUUCUUUAAUCAGAAUUGACUCUGUAUUAUAUUAACACAUCAUAAAAGCACUGCCUGAAGGCAGCGAAGACUGAAGCACAAUUAAUUUAACAAGACUUUUUCACACAGUAAUAAGCUUAACUCUUCUCUCCUGCCCUCUCCCUUUUGGUUUGGUUUUCAGUUUGGGGGAGAAUGACUGCAGUUAUGUAAGUUGUAGCUUUGAAGAAAUUCACCAGGGUUAUGUUGUUUUAACACAAUUUAAAAAUAUUUAAAAAGGAAAACAAAAAAAGGAAAGGAAAAAAAAGAAAAUAAAGAAACUGUACAUAGAAAUGUAUGCUGUAUACCCGCAAAGACUGAACUCAAAGAUAGCUUCAUAGCCCAGAUCACGUGUCUUUUAGGUCAAAUGUUUUUUUUCUCUUGGUUCUUACUUUUACUUACAUUGAAUCUGACAAGCUUUUUAUUUAGAAUGAACAUAUGGUGCAAUCAUGAAAAAAAACAAUUCCAUUGAACAAGGUCUGCCUAAACCUGAUAAAAUGUUGGGAGAAAUACAUUAUAUGGCUAUUUUUCCUUUCUCAAUUGCUUAACAUCUGUGUCUGUUCAUACCAAUGUUUAUAAAUAUAUAUUUUUAAUAAAUGUGCUAUAUUUUUAGCAUGAACCAAAUAUUUGGAGACACUUGUAUUCAUGCAGCUAAAUUUUGUUUGAUGAAGUGCCCCUUUUGACAAUGGAUGUUAUCUUUCUCGGCAAUUAUACAGCAGUCUUGUGUGCAGCCCUCUCACUGAGGUCUGAAGCAAGCUCACAUCAUGCUCACAUGCAUGACUUGAAGUUGGAAUGUCAGCUGAAAAGCAUUGCUGCUUAAUAUGGGAAAUAGCAAAACAUUGUAAGGUGACCUUUGGAGACUGGUUGCAGAACGAAGGCUCUAUUUAUAGUCAAAAAAAGAAAAAGGGAAUGAAAGGAAUACUGAAGCAUCUCACAAAAUAUUGCAAAAUUCAUAGAAUUUAUGGCUUUCAGAAUCUGGUCACGCUCUCUAAGUACUUGUGCUGAGAGAAGUGAGCAGAGGUUUAUACAGUUGUAAAGAGAAAUUUAUAGAGCCUAUAGUGGGGGCUGAAGUGAAAUCCAGAUUGUAAAUACAGAGUGUAUUUUAAAUGUAAGGAUCAUUAACUCUUUCCGCUUCUCUGACAUGUGCUUUAACUGAGUUGGUGCAGUGAAAUUCUGACUUGUGUUUUUGACAGGAAUGUACAAUGAUGAUGAUCACUAUUUUUCUUCAGAGUUCAGUACCUACAAAUAUAUGAAGCAUUAAAAAUAUGAGACCUCAA